CAAAGCUAACUGCUUUCAUUAGAAUUCACUGGCAGGAGUAAAAUUUAGAAGCGCCCAGAUAUUGUAUGAUAAAUAUAGUUGUUUGGAUAACAGUUUGUAAUGAGGUGUAUUAUCUAGAGGUCUACUCACUAAAAAGUGAUUUAUGACAGUCUGUCAACUGACUUGUUGAAUUUUUCCUAAAGUAUUUAAGAUGGAGAGAUUUAAAAAAAAAAAGAGAUUGCGUUGGAGUGUUUUUUUAUCUGCUGUGUGGUCAAUAGUUUGCAAGUAAUUAGCCAACUUAUCAGUUAGUGAAUGGGACCUCAAGUGCUGUCUCUCAGAUUUUAUCUGUGAAGUUCAUCACAGAUAACAGAUUCAUUUUUUAUAAUUGACUUAAUUGAUAAUUGAUAAUUGACACAUCCAAUACAUUUCCAUUUACUCACUACACAUAUGAGCCAGGGCUCUAAAUGGCCACUACAGCAUGUAGGAAUACACAUCUGUUAAAUACAGAUUGUAAACAUUGUUUACAUUGUUAUUACACAAUUGUGCAUGUCACCGUGUAUCAGAAUAUAUUUUAAACCAAAUUUGCAUGGUAACUUUAAAACACCAUUUGACGUUUUACCCUUGGCACUGUGAUGCAAAGGGAUAGCGAACAUUGAGUCUGGCAUAUCAGACAAGUACUCAUGGGCCUGAUAGUGGGUGUACCCUGAAAUAUUUUAAAAUUGUGCAGAAUUGUCGGGGGGAGGGCAAAUGAAUGAAGCACGAUAAUGUACCUUGGAUAGUCGAGCCACAUGAAGCGAGUGACUGAGAGCUGUUUUAGCCCUAUGGAUGUUCCCACAAAUUUAGCCUUCUUGUCAUAUAGCUAUAAUUCUAUUUUACUACUUUUAUUUUGCUGAAAUCUAAUAGUACCAAUGUUAGUUUGUUCAUUUUCACUUGAGAAUUAUGGACAUUAGCAAGCUCUAAAGAAACAGGAUACAAAAAACAUCACUCCCUCUCAUCUAGACAGACUUGAAAGCAGACUUUGAAUACUUAUAAGCCAUAAAUCAAUGUAGCUGUUUUCACCUUUGGUUUUCCUAACAGGAAUGUGCAGUACCCUGUAAGCCCCACUGCAUCCUGCAUUGCUCUACUUACAGUGCCUUGCAAAAUUAUUUAACCCCCUUGGCAUUGUUCGUGUUUUGUUGCCUCACAACCUGGAAUUAACAUGCAUUGUUUGAGGAUUUGUAUCAUUUCAUUUACAGAACAUGCCCACAAAUUUGAAGAUUUUCUUUUUUUUUUAUUGUGAAGCAAACAGCAAAUAGCACAAAAUAGCAGAAAAAGUAAAUGUGCAUAACUAUUCAC
Molecule: non-coding RNA, 1314 nt
Organism: Pelobates cultripes (western spadefoot toad)
Lineage: Eukaryota; Metazoa; Chordata; Amphibia; Anura; Pelobatidae
Source: the annotation of a GenBank genome assembly